This is a long non-coding RNA of Ailuropoda melanoleuca (giant panda), 468 nucleotides long. RefSeq lists it as uncharacterized. Lineage: Eukaryota; Metazoa; Chordata; Mammalia; Carnivora; Ursidae. The record is from RefSeq and is a predicted model, not a curated record. The transcript is spliced from 5 exons.
GACCAUCUUUAUGUCUAGGCAUAUUUCUCCUGAGGGUCACAGUUCUAGAAGAAAUCCGAAGGGUGUGAUCUAUAGUUCAUGCUGCGCCUGCUGUGGUGUGGACCCUGAGUUCAAGCUUGGACGACAAGCAGAUGCUGACUUCACACUUCUGAUAAGUAAAUUCUUUGUGGAUGAGACAAAAGUUAAGGAAGGCGACCAACCACAGAUGAGACAAAAGUUAAGGAAGGCGACCAACCACAGCAGUGGACAUUUUCAAAAAGGUAAAUGAAGAAUUCAGAGCCCGGACCGAAGUUUAAGCCAAGAUGCAAAAAAAGAAAAAAAAGAUCAAAGAGCCUGGAACAGAAUCUUGGCAACAGUGAACCCAGGAGCAUGGACCCUCAGGUUGCCCUUAAAUUUCAGAACCUCUUCCAUCGCAUUCACAGGCUGAUGGAGGGCCAUACCCACCACCACCUCUACCCGCGCCAUCUC